UGUUUUUGAUUGUUUCCAUUGAGCAGGGAGUCGUGGUGCCAAGGCGACGGACAGAAGUGUCCCAUCCAAGGAUUUCCUGGAUUGCCAGAGAUGUAAAUAACGGCAUUACCGGAGACGCGCUCUAAUGGCACUUCUACUUCACUUUUACAUGCAGCUUACAACCAAAUUCCACCCAAAAAUAUGCUAUAAAAGCCACGUAAAGAACUGAAACAGAUUGUGAUUGAUCGAUCUGAUAUGCAUACCUUACACAAGACGUCUUUCUGCUGCGGAAACGUCUGAUGUCUAAGUUUUUCAAAAAAUAUACAUAGCAUACCUCAUGAUCACAUACGCUGCAAUGGAAGACUUUUGUGAAAUUGCUUCGGCUUUUUGGCUGUGCAUGGACUUGCAUUGAAGCAAAAUAAAAUCAUAUAUCCAUCGGCUCA
Drosophila pseudoobscura is the source of this 422-nucleotide long non-coding RNA. RefSeq lists it as uncharacterized. The transcript has 2 exons. The record is from RefSeq and is a predicted model, not a curated record. NCBI's taxonomy places the organism in Eukaryota, Metazoa, Arthropoda, Insecta, Diptera, Drosophilidae.